Molecule: ribosomal RNA, 2904 nt
Filed under: Escherichia coli
Lineage: Bacteria; Pseudomonadati; Pseudomonadota; Gammaproteobacteria; Enterobacterales; Enterobacteriaceae
Description: 23S ribosomal RNA
Rfam family: Bacterial large subunit ribosomal RNA
Source: RNAcentral
GGUUAAGCGACUAAGCGUACACGGUGGAUGCCCUGGCAGUCAGAGGCGAUGAAGGACGUGCUAAUCUGCGAUAAGCGUCGGUAAGGUGAUAUGAACCGUUAUAACCGGCGAUUUCCGAAUGGGGAAACCCAGUGUGUUUCGACACACUAUCAUUAACUGAAUCCAUAGGUUAAUGAGGCGAACCGGGGGAACUGAAACAUCUAAGUACCCCGAGGAAAAGAAAUCAACCGAGAUUCCCCCAGUAGCGGCGAGCGAACGGGGAGCAGCCCAGAGCCUGAAUCAGUGUGUGUGUUAGUGGAAGCGUCUGGAAAGGCGCGCGAUACAGGGUGACAGCCCCGUACACAAAAAUGCACAUGCUGUGAGCUCGAUGAGUAGGGCGGGACACGUGGUAUCCUGUCUGAAUAUGGGGGGACCAUCCUCCAAGGCUAAAUACUCCUGACUGACCGAUAGUGAACCAGUACCGUGAGGGAAAGGCGAAAAGAACCCCGGCGAGGGGAGUGAAAAAGAACCUGAAACCGUGUACGUACAAGCAGUGGGAGCACGCUUAGGCGUGUGACUGCGUACCUUUUGUAUAAUGGGUCAGCGACUUAUAUUCUGUAGCAAGGUUAACCGAAUAGGGGAGCCGAAGGGAAACCGAGUCUUAACUGGGCGUUAAGUUGCAGGGUAUAGACCCGAAACCCGGUGAUCUAGCCAUGGGCAGGUUGAAGGUUGGGUAACACUAACUGGAGGACCGAACCGACUAAUGUUGAAAAAUUAGCGGAUGACUUGUGGCUGGGGGUGAAAGGCCAAUCAAACCGGGAGAUAGCUGGUUCUCCCCGAAAGCUAUUUAGGUAGCGCCUCGUGAAUUCAUCUCCGGGGGUAGAGCACUGUUUCGGCAAGGGGGUCAUCCCGACUUACCAACCCGAUGCAAACUGCGAAUACCGGAGAAUGUUAUCACGGGAGACACACGGCGGGUGCUAACGUCCGUCGUGAAGAGGGAAACAACCCAGACCGCCAGCUAAGGUCCCAAAGUCAUGGUUAAGUGGGAAACGAUGUGGGAAGGCCCAGACAGCCAGGAUGUUGGCUUAGAAGCAGCCAUCAUUUAAAGAAAGCGUAAUAGCUCACUGGUCGAGUCGGCCUGCGCGGAAGAUGUAACGGGGCUAAACCAUGCACCGAAGCUGCGGCAGCGACGCUGAUGCGUUGUUGGGUAGGGGAGCGUUCUGUAAGCCUGCGAAGGUGUGCUGUGAGGCAUGCUGGAGGUAUCAGAAGUGCGAAUGCUGACAUAAGUAACGAUAAAGCGGGUGAAAAGCCCGCUCGCCGGAAGACCAAGGGUUCCUGUCCAACGUUAAUCGGGGCAGGGUGAGUCGACCCCUAAGGCGAGGCCGAAAGGCGUAGUCGAUGGGAAACAGGUUAAUAUUCCUGUACUUGGUGUUACUGCGAAGGGGGGACGGAGAAGGCUAUGUUGGCCGGGCGACGGUUGUCCCGGUUUAAGCGUGUAGGCUGGUUUUCCAGGCAAAUCCGGAAAAUCAAGGCUGAGGCGUGAUGACGAGGCACUACGGUGCUGAAGCAACAAAUGCCCUGCUUCCAGGAAAAGCCUCUAAGCAUCAGGUAACAUCAAAUCGUACCCCAAACCGACACAGGUGGUCAGGUAGAGAAUACCAAGGCGCUUGAGAGAACUCGGGUGAAGGAACUAGGCAAAAUGGUGCCGUAACUUCGGGAGAAGGCACGCUGAUAUGUAGGUGAAGUCCCUUGCGGAUGGAGCUGAAAUCAGUCGAAGAUACCAGCUGGCUGCAACUGUUUAUUAAAAACACAGCACUGUGCAAACACGAAAGUGGACGUAUACGGUGUGACGCCUGCCCGGUGCCGGAAGGUUAAUUGAUGGGGUCAGCGCAAGCGAAGCUCUUGAUCGAAGCCCCGGUAAACGGCGGCCGUAACUAUAACGGUCCUAAGGUAGCGAAAUUCCUUGUCGGGUAAGUUCCGACCUGCACGAAUGGCGUAAUGAUGGCCAGGCUGUCUCCACCCGAGACUCAGUGAAAUUGAACUCGCUGUGAAGAUGCAGUGUACCCGCGGCAAGACGGAAAGACCCCGUGAACCUUUACUAUAGCUUGACACUGAACAUUGAGCCUUGAUGUGUAGGAUAGGUGGGAGGCUUGGAAGUGUGGACGCCAGUCUGCAUGGAGCCGACCUUGAAAUACCACCCUUUAAUGUUUGAUGUUCUAACGUUGACCCGUAAUCCGGGUUGCGGACAGUGUCUGGUGGGUAGUUUGACUGGGGCGGUCUCCUCCUAAAGAGUAACGGAGGAGCACGAAGGUUGGCUAAUCCUGGUCGGACAUCAGGAGGUUAGUGCAAUGGCAUAAGCCAGCUUGACUGCGAGCGUGACGGCGCGAGCAGGUGCGAAAGCAGGUCAUAGUGAUCCGGUGGUUCUGAAUGGAAGGGCCAUCGCUCAACGGAUAAAAGGUACUCCGGGGAUAACAGGCUGAUACCGCCCAAGAGUUCAUAUCGACGGCGGUGUUUGGCACCUCGAUGUCGGCUCAUCACAUCCUGGGGCUGAAGUAGGUCCCAAGGGUAUGGCUGUUCGCCAUUUAAAGUGGUACGCGAGCUGGGUUUAGAACGUCGUGAGACAGUUCGGUCCCUAUCUGCCGUGGGCGCUGGAGAACUGAGGGGGGCUGCUCCUAGUACGAGAGGACCGGAGUGGACGCAUCACUGGUGUUCGGGUUGUCAUGCCAAUGGCACUGCCCGGUAGCUAAAUGCGGAAGAGAUAAGUGCUGAAAGCAUCUAAGCACGAAACUUGCCCCGAGAUGAGUUCUCCCUGACUCCUUGAGAGUCCUGAAGGAACGUUGAAGACGACGACGUUGAUAGGCCGGGUGUGUAAGCGCAGCGAUGCGUUGAGCUAACCGGUACUAAUGAACCGUGAGGCUUAACCUU